GUGGGGAAUCUUCCGCAAUGGACGAAAGUCUGACGGAGCAACGCCGCGUGAGUGAAGAAGGUUUUCGGAUCGUAAAGCUCUUUCGUUAGGGACGAACGUGCUCUUUGUGAAUAAUGAGGAGUAAUGACGGUACCUAAAUAAGAAGCCACGGCUAACUACGUGCCAGCAGCCGCGGUAAUACGUAGGUGGCAAGCGUUGUCCGGAAUUAUUGGGCGUAAAGCGCGCGCAGGCGGGAUAUCAAGUCUGUCUUAAAAGUGCGAGGCUCAACCUCGUGAGGGGACAGAAACUGGUAUUCUUGAGUGUCGGAGAGGAAAGUGGAAUUCCAAGUGUAGCGGUGAAAUGCGUAGAGAUUUGGAAGAACACCAGUGGCGAAGGCGACUUUCUGGACGAUGUCUGACGCUGAGGCGCGAAAGCUAGGGGAGCGAACGGGAUUAGAAACCCUUGUAGUCC
RNAcentral lists this ribosomal RNA (450 nucleotides) under uncultured bacterium. RNAcentral's name for it is "partial 16S ribosomal RNA". It matches the Rfam family "Bacterial small subunit ribosomal RNA", at positions 354 to 796 of the family's 1533-position model. The record is from RNAcentral.